RNAcentral lists this transfer RNA (73 nucleotides) under Perca fluviatilis (European perch). Its description in RNAcentral is "tRNA-Gln". It matches the Rfam family "tRNA". From Rfam's summary of the family: Transfer RNA (tRNA) molecules are approximately 80 nucleotides in length. Their secondary structure includes four short double-helical elements and three loops (D, anti-codon, and T loops). Further hydrogen bonds mediate the characteristic L-shaped molecular structure. tRNAs have two regions of fundamental functional importance: the anti-codon, which is responsible for specific mRNA codon recognition, and the 3' end, to which the tRNAs corresponding amino acid is attached (by aminoacyl-tRNA synthetases). tRNAs cope with the degeneracy of the genetic code in two manners: having more than one tRNA (with a specific anti-codon) for a particular amino acid; and 'wobble' base-pairing, i.e. permitting non-standard base-pairing at the 3rd anti-codon position. Lineage: Eukaryota; Metazoa; Chordata; Actinopteri; Perciformes; Percidae. The record is from RNAcentral.
GCCGUGAUCGUAUAGUGGUUAGUACUCUUUGUGUUUUGGUCGCAGCAACCCCGGUUCGAAUCUGGUCACGGCA